This 403-nucleotide ribosomal RNA is filed under the name uncultured bacterium. RNAcentral's name for it is "partial 16S ribosomal RNA". It matches the Rfam family "Bacterial small subunit ribosomal RNA", at positions 28 to 526 of the family's 1533-position model. The record is from RNAcentral.
GACGAACGCUGGCGGCGUGCCUAAUACAUGCAAGUCGAACGCAGUGGGGACGGUUGAGUAACACGUGGGUAACCUCCCAUCAGAGGGGAUAACACUUGGAAACAGGUGCUAAACCGAUACUGAUGGAUGAACCCACGGUGCAUUAGCUAGUUGGUGAGGGAACGGCUCACCAAGGCCACGAUGCAUAGCCGACCUGAGAGGGUGAUCGGCCACACUGGGACUGAGAAACGGCACAGCCUCCUACGGGAGGCAGCAGUGGGGAAGAUUCUGCAAUGGGCGAAAGUCUGACCGAGCAACGCCGCGUGAGUGAAGAAGGUUUUCGGAUCGUAAAGCUCUGUUGUUAGAGAGGCGGUAUCUAACCAGAAAGCAACGGCUAACUACGUGCCAGCAGCCGCGGUAAUAC